AGAGUGAACGCUGGCGGCAGGCCUAACACAUGCAAGUCGAGCGGCAGCGGGUCCUUCGGGAUGCCGGCGAGCGGCGGACGGGUGAGUAAGGCAUCGGAAUCUACCCUGAUGUGGGGGAUAACCUGGGGAAACUCAGGCUAAUACCGCAUACGACCUACGGGUGAAAGCGGGGGACCUUUCGGGGCCUCGCGCAGCAGGAUGAGCCGAUGUCCGAUUAGCUAGUUGGUGGGUAAAGCCCACCAAGGCGACGAUCGGUAGCCGGUCUGAGAGGAUGAUCGGCCACACUGGGACUGAGACACGGCCCAGACUCCUACGGGAGGCAGCAGUGGGAAUAUUGGACAAUGGGGGCAACCCUGAUCCAGCCAUGCGCGUGGUGAAGAAGGCCUUCGGUGUAAGCCCUUUGUACGGAAGAAAUCUACCUGGUAAUACUUAGAAGCUGACGUACGUAAGAAUAAGCAACCGCUAACUUCGUGCCAGCAGCCGC
This 484-nucleotide ribosomal RNA is filed under the name uncultured soil bacterium. RNAcentral's name for it is "bacterial SSU rRNA". It matches the Rfam family "Bacterial small subunit ribosomal RNA", at positions 26 to 518 of the family's 1533-position model. The record is from RNAcentral.